RNAcentral lists this ribosomal RNA (484 nucleotides) under uncultured bacterium. RNAcentral describes it as "partial 16S ribosomal RNA". It matches the Rfam family "Bacterial small subunit ribosomal RNA", at positions 30 to 507 of the family's 1533-position model. The record is from RNAcentral.
AUUGAACGCUGGCGGCAGGCCUAACACAUGCAAGUCGAGCGGAGGAAGGGAGCUGGCUCCUGGAUUCAGCGGCGGACGGGUGAGGAAUGCCUAGGAAUCUGCCUGGUAGUGGGGGAUAACGUCCGGAAACGGGCGCUAAUACCGCAUACGGCCUGAGGGAGAAAGUGGGGGAUCUUCGGACUUCACGCUAUCAGAUGAUCCUAGGUCGGAUUAGCUAGUUGGUGGGGUAAAGGCCUACCAAGGCGACGAUCCGUAACUGGUCUGAGAGGAUGAUCAGUCACACUGGAACUGAGACACGGUCCAGACUCCUACGGGAGGCAGCAGUGGGGAAUAUUGGACAAUGGGCGAAAGCCUGAUCCAGCCAUGCCGCGUGUGUGAAGAAGGUCUUCGGAUUGUAAAGCACUUUAAGUUGGGAGGAAGGGCAGUAAGUUAAUACCUUGCUGUUUUGACGUUACCAAAAGAAUAAGCACCGGCUAACUUCGUG